AUGUGUCUAGCCUUACGGAUAUUUGGUUACAAGGAAUGGGAAACAACUCAAGUCAAAUUAAACAAAAAUAGAAGGCAUCAAAUGCAACUCCUUGGACAAAUGUGUUUUGAGUUUCAAGUGAGCAAACCUUCAAUGUGUCUGCCAUUUUGGGGAAGAAGUUGUAACUUGGAGUGAAGGUAGAGGGAUUUAUUAUGAGAGCUUUGCUAGCAGACAUCUCAUUCUUUAAGACAAAAUCAACGCACAAACAUAAUUGGUCAAAGGAAGAAAGCUACAAAACCAAUUCAAUAACAUCUGAAGCCUGAGAGGAAAAUGAAAGACAAGAGGCUGUGGCUGCAGCUGUGUCUGCUGACAACAGGAUAAAAAUGGUUGCAUUGAGAGUGAGCUGCAUUUUCACCAGGCAGAGCAAACUGGGAGCUAAUGUGUUUCUUGGAAAUCAAAAGAGGACUCCAAGAAUAGAAGCUUUUAAGAGGACUGGCUGGAGAGUCAAAGAAGAUCCAUUAGCUUCUGGACCACUGAAAACCUAAGGGCUGAUGGUGGGGCAGGGUAAGUGGCCGGCAGCAGGGAGACAUUUUCUGUAUCUAGGAUGGUAUAGAAAAGACCCCCACUGGACAGAUCUACAAAGAACAACUAAAGAGUCUCAUGGUAGAACAGGUCAGCUCUGGACAUCAUUCAAAUCCAGGGGAGCCUCUUAUACUGGAUUGCAAUUGUGUUGGGCAUGUACAAUGGUGUUCUUUUUCUCUAAUGGCUUCUUUCUUCUGGUCAGUCUCUGGAAGGGGUGAAAGAGUGAGAAAUAGUAGCCAGCAAGUGUAGAAAGAGAUGUGGAAGAGAGAACGGGGAAACAGAAAUUGCAUUUCUCCCACGUUCCAAAUGUAGGUUAUCCGGGUUAAAUGUAGGCCCCACCUGACUAGGCAAAGAUUUUUUCCUUUGUUGUGAGUUUGAAAAGAACUAAACAUCAUACUGAAGUGGAAUUAUUGAAAUUGGAUAGACCCAGGUUCAAAUGUUGACUCAGUUAUGUAACAUCUUGUGAAUUUUGACAGGUUCCUUAACUCCACUGAGUCUGUUUUUAUACCCAUGAAAUGGAUGUAGGAUUGUUAUGAACAUUAAUUGAAAAAUUAUAUAUAAAAUAAGUGUCCAGCAUAGUUCCUGGCACAUACUAGUGCUUGAAAACUACCAAUCAACUUCAUCAAUUUGUGUUAUGCCCUGCAUGGGCACAUAUUUGUCCUGAUACUCUUCAAAAUGUAGAAGUACCCACAGAAAAAUUGUCUCAGUUCAAGCACAGUAUUAUUAAUAUUCUACUGAGUACUAAGUAUGGUCGUUAAUAGUCUAAUAUGAGGAAGUCAAAACAGUCUCUGGAAAAAGUCUUUCUGCAAGCUUUUUGAAGCUUCAGGGAUUGCUACAAAGACUGGAAAAUCGAUCUUGAACUCAGCCUUUUAAUUUCUUUUCAUGAUUACUGUUCUCAAAUGGAGAAUGCAAUUAAAAUUAAUGCUGUCUUAGUUCACUUGCCUCAAAAUAAACAUUGAUCAAAUUC
Homo sapiens (human) is the source of this 1528-nucleotide long non-coding RNA. Ensembl annotates it as long intergenic non-protein coding RNA 1788. The record is from Ensembl. NCBI's taxonomy places the organism in Eukaryota, Metazoa, Chordata, Mammalia, Primates, Hominidae.